GUGUCUGGUGGGUAGUUUGACUGGGGCGGUCUCCUCCUAAAGAGUAACGGAGGAGCACGAAGGUUGGCUAAUCCUGGUCGGACAUCAGGAGGUUAGUGCAAUGGCAUAAGCCAGCUUGACUGCGAGCGUGACGGCGCGAGCAGGUGCGAAAGCAGGUCAUAGUGAUCCGGUGGUUCUGAAUGGAAGGGCCAUCGCUCAACGGAUAAAAGGUACUCCGGGGAUAACAGGCUGAUACCGCCCAAGAGUUCAUAUCGACGGCGGUGUUUGGCACCUCGAUGUCGGCUCAUCACAUCCUGGGGCUGAAGUAGGUCCCAAGGGUAUGGCUGUUCGCCAUUUAAAGUGGUACGCGAGCUGGGUUUAGAACGUCGUGAGACAGUUCGGUCCCUAUCUGCCGUGGGCGCUGGAGAACUGAGGGGGGCUGCUCCUAGUACGAGAGGACCGGAGUGGACGCAUCACUGGUGUUCGGGUUGUCAUGCCAAUGGCACUGCCCGGUAGCUAAAUGCGGAAGAGAUAAGUGCUGAAAGCAUCUAAGCACGAAACUUGCCCCGAGAUGAGUUCUCCCUGAGACUUUAGGUCUCCUGAAGGAACGUUGAAGACGACGACGUUGAUAGGCCGGGUGUGUAAGCGCAGCGAUGCGUUGAGCUAACCGGUACUAAUGAACCGUGAGGCUUAACCUUACAACGCCG
RNAcentral lists this ribosomal RNA (686 nucleotides) under Salmonella enterica subsp. enterica serovar Berta. RNAcentral's name for it is "partial 23S ribosomal RNA". It matches the Rfam family "Bacterial large subunit ribosomal RNA", at positions 2254 to 2925 of the family's 2925-position model. RNAcentral also lists the same sequence under 1 other name. The record is from RNAcentral. Lineage: Bacteria; Pseudomonadati; Pseudomonadota; Gammaproteobacteria; Enterobacterales; Enterobacteriaceae.